This 533-nucleotide long non-coding RNA is filed under the name Pectinophora gossypiella (pink bollworm). RNAcentral describes it as "uncharacterized LOC126374211". The record is from RNAcentral. Lineage: Eukaryota; Metazoa; Arthropoda; Insecta; Lepidoptera; Gelechiidae.
ACUAGCGACAUUUUUUUUUUAUUGCACCAUUCAAUUCAGCGUACACGAAUACACCUUCUCACAAAUUUUCAUUAAGAUAUCAGUAAAAAUGAAGAAAUUAUUACAAAAACAAUGAAAUUGUGCAACAUUGAUAAAAAUAUUUUUCCCCCAUAAUAAGAAAGUUUACACAGAAGCAGAUCCUACCUACCUACCUACCCUACCUACCUACCUACCUGACGACCUACUUGACAUUCCACUAAUACUGCAACCCAAUCCAGUACAACCCAGUGGAAGAAUGACCAGAAAUGCAAAAAUAUUUCAAGAAACUAUGGGAUAUCUUCUCGUCGUAGUCAACAUGAGACACAUUCUCUUGAAGGUUCUACCGAAAAGCAAAGAGGGGGUGAUCGGAAAGGAGCAAAAUGUUCAAGAAAACACUUAAUGACUAACUGUAAUAACUGAAAAUGAAGGUUUUUCUAAUAAAGGCAAGUGCCAUACCGUAUUAAUAUAUUUUGUGAUUAUGCAUGUAUUAAUUAAUAAACGUUUUAAAAUUAAAA